GUGGGGAAUAUUGGACAAUGGGCGCAAGCCUGAUCCAGCAAUGCCGCGUGGGUGAAGAAGGCCUUCGGGUUGUAAAGCCCUUUUGUACGGAAAGAAAUCCUGGUGGUUAAUACCCGCCGGGGAUGACGGUACCGUAAGAAUAAGCACCGGCUAACUUCGUGCCAGCAGCCGCGGUAAUACGAAGGGUGCAAGCGUUAAUCGGAAUUACUGGGCGUAAAGCGUGCGUAGGUGGUUUCUUAAGUCUGUCGUGAAAGCCCUGGGCUCAACCUGGGAAUGGCGAUGGAUACUGGGAGGCUAGAGUGCGGUAGAGGAUGGCGGAAUUCCCGGUGUAGCGGUGAAAUGCGUAGAGAUCGGGAGGAACAUCUGUGGCGAAGGCGGCCAUCUGGACCAGCACUGACACUGAGGCACGAAAGCGUGGGGAGCAAACAGGAUUAGACACCCUAGUAGUCC
RNAcentral lists this ribosomal RNA (450 nucleotides) under uncultured bacterium. Its description in RNAcentral is "partial 16S ribosomal RNA". It matches the Rfam family "Bacterial small subunit ribosomal RNA", at positions 354 to 796 of the family's 1533-position model. The record is from RNAcentral.